This 397-nucleotide ribosomal RNA is filed under the name uncultured bacterium. RNAcentral describes it as "bacterial SSU rRNA". It matches the Rfam family "Bacterial small subunit ribosomal RNA", at positions 521 to 916 of the family's 1533-position model. The record is from RNAcentral.
UAAGACAGAGGGGGCAAGCGUUGCUCGGAAUUACUGGGCGUAAAGGGCGCGUAGGCGGGACGGCAAGUCGGUCGUGAAAUCCCUCGGCUCAACUGAGGAACGUCGAUCGAUACUGCCGUUCUUGAGGGUUGCAGAGGAGACUGGAAUUCCCGGUGUAGCGGUGAAAUGUGUAGAGAUCGGGAGGAACACCGGUGGCGAAGGCGGGUCUCUGGGCAACUCCUGACGCUGAGGCGCGAAAGCGUGGGGAGCAAACGGGAUUAGAUACCCCGGUAGUCCACGCUGUAAACGAUGACGACUAGGUGUGGGGGGGUUCAGUCCUCUCCGUGCCGCAGCUAACGCAUUAAGUCGUCCGCCUGGGGAGUACGGCCGCAAGGUUGAAACUCAAAUGAAUUGACGG